This is a long non-coding RNA of Oryzias sinensis (Chinese medaka), 3363 nucleotides long. Lineage: Eukaryota; Metazoa; Chordata; Actinopteri; Beloniformes; Adrianichthyidae. The record is from Ensembl.
ACGUUAAAGUGUCUAGGAUAGAACAAGCGUUACAGAGUCGAGCCUGAAGACGUUUCCACAUCCUGAUUCAUGUUUUUGUUUUCCAGGCAGCAGCAGAGCUGAAGCCCAAAGAGUCCGUGAGCUCCAGAGCGUCCAGCGUCUCCUCCAGCAGCUCGCUGCAGCAAGCGGCGCCCAGCUCGCCCCCCGCAGAGGUGGAGGAAUCCCCGCGGGCCGAGCCGGCGCCUGCCGCAGACGGCCUGGGUCUGGGUCUGGGCGUGUCGCUGGCCGAGGCCAAAGAGAGAGCUCACAAGAAGAGGGCGGCCAAGAAGGCGCCGGCCAUGGACUGGAGCAAGAGGAACGAACUCUUCAGCAACCUAUAGGCUGAUCUGCGUCUCUGCGCCGCCCUCCAGUGGAGACCUGAGAGAGGAUGGCUGUCGGUGUGAAUCUCAGACUGACCGCUCCUUUAAACUGCCACGUUGAACAGUAUUAGAAAUGAUUUUAUUGUUUUAAUUUAGGGAUUUGACACUUUCUGCCUGUAAUGUUUCAAUGACUUAAAUGAUGCAGCAAUGAGCAGAGUGACACAGAGCCCUGAGGAAGAGGAGGAGGAGCCACGACUGCAUCAGGAAGAUUGAUUUGUUUAACUCUUAAGCUGAAAUCCUCUGUUCAGAGAAACUGCUGUGAAAGUCUUAAUCCUCAAUUCAAAGAAAUGUCUGUUUAAAUUGUACAUACAUGAAUGAAGGCCUGUUGAUUCUGCUUGUUGCUCUUGUUUUGACAGCGCCACCUACUGGGGACUCGUGUCCUUAAAGCUCUUUACAUUUUUGGAUCUUAGUGAGAUGUGUGUUCUCUACCAGGUCAGUUAUCUAAGGCAGGUCUCCGAAGGCUCAAACACUUCUAGUGCCUCAUUUCAAAAGUACAAAGGAUCCUAUGAAAAUUCACUUCAGAAUAUUGAAUCUCAGUUUUUGUAUGAAUCAAACUGGAAAAACGUCCUUUAAACAGCUGUAAAACCUUUGAAGGACAGCUGAAAAGUGACGGCACAUCUGGAAAGAUCAGUUUCCUGUAAAAAUCUGCAAUUCAGGACUCAAGGUGUUUUCAGCUGAAGCUUCAUUUACAGAAAUUUAUGCCAAAGUAAAACUAAGAUUUUAGUGAAUUGAUUUACUUUUUGGUAAAAGUAUUUAGUGUAGCAGAAACAUUUUAAGUUUAUAAACAGUUAUUUCUAACUACAUUUUGACCUGCAAUGAGCUUUGUAUAGAUGUGCGCCAAUGAAGGCGGCUGGACUGCUCAGUUGCUUGUGAGCAGGACUGGCAUGUGGGAAAAACAGGGGUCCAUUUCCCCAUGAGCUUCAUCCAGUGAGAGCCCUUGGGCAAGAUCCUUCAAACUGCCCAUUUAGCCACAAGGUGACCCGUGUCCGGGUCUCCUCGUCCCCAGCCCAAAUGAAAUACAGGGUUGUGUCCGGAGAAUGCAGCCUAAGAAGAUCCAUACUGAACCUGUGGUUCAGUGGAAGCCGAUGUGGCGAGUUUGCUUCAUGUUCAUUGACUUUCAUUUGGGAUGGAGGAAAUGAAGACAACAAACACGACAUCCUUUAAGAAACUUUAGUCAAGGAUUACUACAGGUGUCAGUUUGAACAUCAUGAGGUUUCCCACAGCAGAGCUGAAAACGUCCCCAUGUAGAUGGUCCCCCAAAUGGAUGAAGGCUCCGUCCAGUCUGUCCAGCUUGCCAUGCCGUCACUAUCCUCUAGAGGGCAUCGUUGGCUCUCAGGCAUAUACUAAGGUUCAUAUGAAAUGCAGUAGGUGCACAGAGUAACUGACAGCUUGGUUUCCUCACUGGGUCACUGGUUUACACUGCCCAAAGAACACCCCCCCGUUGCACAGGGGGGGGACCUCAGGAGCAUCUGGAAAAGUGUCCUGGGAAUAUUUCAAAUCAGAAAUAAAGUCCUUUGCCCGUUGAAAGGCGCUCCCAAACUGGAACAGGUGAGAUAAGGGGUGAACAGGGGGGGGUGUCAAGUCCACAGGCACCUCUCCAUUGUUCCAGGCCUGAAAGAGGGGCAUCUGCCGGGCCUCCAUCAGGUUCCUACUGAGGAGGGAAAGUUCCUCUGCGACACCUGUAGGUGGAGACGGAUCUGCAAAACCCUCACCUGGUAGAGCUUUAUACGGAGAGCCGAAGGAGCGCGCCAUCCCAACGUUGCUCAGUCCAGGCCCAGGUUGCUCAGGGACGGAGGGGUUGCUCCCCAGUUCUGGGGCACCAACGUUCAGAACUCCUCCGGGGGAGUCAGGCCAGAGGUUGGUUGGACCCUCCUCCACACUGUCAGGGCUGAGUGCUUGAUCAGGCCGUGCUGCAAAGCUAGUUUUAUUCUCCACAUAGUGGGAGUAACUCCAGGUCCAGGGGAAGUCCACAUCUGGUACUUUGGAAUGAGCAUCAGGGUCAUAGGUCAAGAUGAACCCUUGAGGCUCAUACCUGUGCUGCUGGAGUUCUGGACCUUUUAAAAGAAGGUUUUUUGUUGCAACAAUCAUUGGAUCAUACCGGUGAUCUAGAAGGAGAUUUGAUACAAAGUGAUGCUUACAGGCAAACACAGGAAGUGUUUUUAAGAUUACUGAACACUCACAAGGAGAAGCAGCACAGCAUCCAAGCAGCUGAACAAUCCAAGAAAGCCUAAAACACAAAACAAAAGUUAUUGUUAUUUAAGCACACACUAAAGGUCUCAAAAACCGUACAAAAAAAUAAAACUACACCUUAAAGCAAGCUUUAGAACCAUGUUUACCUCAGAGCAAAAGAUGAGCUCCAGCAGCAGACAGAAGAAGCUUUUAUCCAGGUGAACCGAUGAGCUCAUUAGAAACACCUGCAGGAAGGCCUGGCUCAUGCAGAAAGCUGCAGAUGAUCCUCAACCUUCAACAGCCCAGUUCAAAAUGUGGCGGGAAUGAAGCCAAAUCCCAGAUGCCAUCUGUGUAAAACAAAAAGAGGAGAAAGAAGCCUUUAGCUCCUUCGUAAAAAGACUUCAUGCAUACAAAUCUAACAGAGUAAAGACUGGAGGAAGAGCAAGAGGAAUGAGAAGCACAAAGGCUGAGGACCACAUUUACCCAAAUGGAGGUUUUUCUCAGAGGAUCAGAACGGUGGAUCACACCACAGCUCAUGUCAGAGACUAAAACUUACUAAAAACAAAAAACCUUUAGCAGUAUUUUUAGUUUAACCAACAAACUGCUUCUCUUUCAGAUAACUACUUGAAUGUUCAUAUACUUUUUUUCUGAGUAAUAUCUUGAAUGAUGUGGAAAUAUUACCAUUUUAAACACAUCAGAACACAAAUCUUAUUUACAAAUAUAAACACUUCAAACAACAACAAAAAUUAGAAAUAAAAGAAAACAUUUAAGUAAAUAAAUAUGCUGGUCAUGAAAU